RNA transcript from Capsicum annuum, 2551 nucleotides. It is a transcript of the gene named probable hexosyltransferase MUCI70, with no coding region annotated. The record is from RefSeq and is a predicted model, not a curated record. Lineage: Eukaryota; Viridiplantae; Streptophyta; Magnoliopsida; Solanales; Solanaceae. The transcript has 10 exons.
CUCAUUGGCUGCUUUUGCCUUAGGGAUGCACUUCCAUGUUAAACUGGAACAUGGCAUGUUGCCUUGGAGAGAAAUGCGAGAAGAUUUUAUUGUGCAUGAUGUCCCUGAGCGCCCAACAAAGAAGCCGCGUAGGCAGCGUACAAAGCACGUUUAGUUGCAAAAGGGUUCACUCGAAGGCCCGGAUUUGAUUUUCACAAGACAUUCAGUCCGGUGGUUAAACCAACUACUAUUCGAAUAGUACUUACAGUUUCUGUACAAAUGAACUACCCACUACAUCAAGUAGAUGUCAAUAAUGCUUUUCUUCAAGGAAAGAUUCAAGACGUGUAUAUGUCUCAACCUCCUGGCUAUGAAGACACAAAUCAUCCCAACUAUGUUUGCAAUCUCAAAAAGGCAAUUUCGGAUUCCGGCAAGCUCCUAAGGUCUGGUAUGAUGCAUUGACUAGUUCUUUGAUUCGAAUGGGGUUCAAGAUGUCUGAGUGUGAUAAUUCUCUCUUUGUUUUGCACAAUAUGGGGGUCAUUAUUUAUAUUUGAUCUAUGUGGAUGACCUCAUAAUCACAGGCAGUGAUGAAACACUCUUUCAACAUGUUGUUACCACUCUUUCGAAAAAAUUUUCUCUCAAGUACCUUGAUUUAUUACACUAUUUCUUGGGUGUUGAAGUACACAGAAAUGCUGAUGGCUUGUUUCUCAGUCAAUCCAAGUAUAUACAGGAGAUUCUAUAUGACACUCAGAUGCAAGACUGCAAAGGUAUUCAGUCACCUAUGAGCAUGUUCGAGAUCCUACUAGUUGAUGAUGAAGCACCUAAAACUGAUGGAAAAGAAUACAGAAGUGUGCUCGGCAGUUAAGCGUAUCCUGCGCUACCUUAAAGAAACAUCCCAGUAUGGCAUUCGUAUUUCCCCACAGAAAUCGACUGAUCUCUAUGCCUAUGCCGAUGCUGAUUGGGCAGGUGACAUCAAUGAUCGCCGUUUCGGGCUACUUUGUUUAUCUGGGCACAACGCCCAUCUCUUGGAGUUCUCGCUUUUUUCCUUGUGAUGUAGUGUUUAGGGAUGCCGUCGAUUUGCAUAGUGAACCCAAGGAUUUUAUGAAUUUCACCCAGUUUUCCCUGGGAUAUAUGGAAACAGAAAAGAAAGCUUCCCAUACUGAUGCUCAUGAUCCCAGAUUUGGUGGACACCAGACCCUUGAAGAAAGAGAACAAUCAUUUUCUGCUGUAAAUCAAACAAUUCAUUGUGGUUUUUUGAGGGGAGCUGCAGGGCUUCCAAGUACUGGAUUUGAUUUGAAAGAGGAGGACAAAAGAUACAUGAGUGCGUGCAGAGUGGUCGUAUCAUCAUGUAUUUUUGGAAGCUCUGAUUUUUUAAGAAGGCCGACAAGCAGAUUGAUCAGUGAGUAUUCAAAGAAGAACGUAUGUUUUGUUAUGUUUGUUGAUGAGGGAACUCUUUCAACGCUCUCAAAAGAAGGAAGCGCACCUGAUGAUGGUGGAUUUGUUGGAUUGUGGAAAUUAGUUGUCGUCAAGAACUUACCAUACACAGAUACGCGUAAAACAGGGAAAGUACCAAAGUUUUUGACGCAUCGCCUCUUUCCUUCUUCUAGGUACUCUAUUUGGCUAGAUAGCAAACUGCGGCUCUCAACUGAUCCAAUGUUGAUAAUUGAUCAUUUCUUGUGGCAAACCGGCUCUGAGUAUGCCAUCUCAAAUCAUUAUACUCGGCACUGUGUUUGGGAAGAAGUACUCCAAAAUAAGCGUCUAAAUAAGUACAAUCACACUGCUAUUGAUGAACAGUUUUCGUUGUACCAAUCUGAUGGUCUUACCAAAUUUGACCCUUUAGAUCCGAAUCCAUCUCUGCCAAGCUAUGUGCCUGAAGGUUCUUUUAUUGUCAGAGCACAUACACCGAUGUCAAAUUUAUUCUCUUGCCUCUGGUUCAACGAAGUUGACCGAUUUACUUCACGUGACCAACUAAGCUUUGCAUUUACAUUCCUAAAGCUGAAGAGAAUGAAUCCAGACAAACCAUUCCAUUUAAAUAUGUUUAAGGACUGCGAGCGUAGGUCACUGGUCAAGUUGUUUCAUCACAGAGAGCCAUCUGCUCCACCUCCUCCAAGAAUAGUUUGAUAUUCUUCAUUCCUUACAAGGACUUGGUAAACUCGAACUCUUGCUUCAAGCCAUUUGAACGAACUUUCAGGAUAGAACUUUCGUGGAAUAUCUUUGGUUUGUCAUAACUCAUCUGCUGUUGAGUGAUUGAGGAUGGCUUAGGAAGCUCGUGAGGUGUCACUGCAGCUUGAAUUAUCAUAACUGUUGGAUGUUUUCCGAGAUUUCUUCUGAGUUCGGAGCUGAACGAGUUUCCUAAAGAAGUUUGUAAACAAAUGUAUUCAACUAUAGAAGAUCCUCCACAUAUAGUAAACCCUUUUAUUGUACAUUGAAUAUGUAUCUUCUCAAUUCCAGCUAACACUGAUGAAAUUAGUGGUUUCUGCAAUAUAGAGAAGCAAUAUUACGUUUCAUAUAGUCAGACCCCAACUUGUAUUACUGAUUACAGAGUGUUGUGAAAUGAAAUCAUCUUUCAGUUGAA